Molecule: long non-coding RNA, 634 nt
Organism: Cyprinus carpio (common carp)
Lineage: Eukaryota; Metazoa; Chordata; Actinopteri; Cypriniformes; Cyprinidae
Source: Ensembl
UGCAGAUGGGAACCGCUCCCUGUCCCGUUCCCUGUCUGGGGCUGUUCUCCAUGAUGCCAGAGGCAGAGAAAGAACUGGAAAGGGAUCUUAGUUUUCAUCUUCACAGCACCGUUCUGUAGAGCGGCUCUCCACAUCCUCUCUUGAACCUUUUUUAGUACCUUUAGCAGGUGUGGAGUGUCCUAACUGUUCCCGGGAACGAAAUAUCCGAGAGGAAUAUAACAAAAUUAUCAUUCAGGCUAGGAGAGACAAAGAUUCUCUGAGUCAAAAAGUAGCAGAACUAGAGAAUGAGUUAAGGACAAGAGCAACACAGAAGAGAGAAGAGGGGUCAAGCUGGGAAAAGAAAAGAGGAAAUGAAGAAUCUACAAGCAGUACAUCUGUAGAGACAGGAAUAUUAAAGACUGCAGAGAUACCAAAGCAUGUGCUGGAUAAUGUCACACUUGUCCUGCAGGUGUGUUUGCAAACAGAAGCAGAGGGUCUGAGAUCAGAGCUGAAUGCCUGUUGUGAGAGAGAGAAGAUGCUGACACAAACACUGCAUUCUGAGAGAGAGAGAGAGACUGACUCAGGACGCCCAGACACUGCUCACACAGCUCAACAGCACCAGAGAGAGAAACAACCAGCUUGUGUCAACCCUUAA